This is a long non-coding RNA of Macaca mulatta (Rhesus monkey), 1613 nucleotides long. RefSeq lists it as uncharacterized. The record is from RefSeq and is a predicted model, not a curated record. NCBI's taxonomy places the organism in Eukaryota, Metazoa, Chordata, Mammalia, Primates, Cercopithecidae.
GGGGGAAGGGGCUUAGACAGCGACCCUCAGUUCCCCGGGAAAUGUAGGCGAGCAGCCGAACUGAGCUGACCAAGGGGGUCGGCGCCCCAGGCUUCUUGGUGGCAUGCUGGGGCGCGGGGAGGGGGCGACUCUUACCCGAAGGCUGCCGAGCUGCAGGCGGCGGUCGGUCCGGGCGUCUGCCGUAAUCCACUAGGCGCUGCCCGGCUGCGCGCGCUCUCGGCGGCAGAUACCCGCUCAUGUUGGUGAAGAAACCGCGCCGGAAUCGCGCGGCUGCAGUCACCUCGAGCAGGCCGGCUGCUCCUGGCAGGCGGUGUCCGCGCCGGCGGGGGGCUUGGCGCCCAAGGCCCCUUCCAGGCCCUCCCUCGCCGGGCUCCCCACCAGCUCCGGAGGUGGCGGCUGUGCGGACCGAGUGAGCGGCGGUGGGACCAGGCCGGGCGCCGGGCGGGAGCCGAGGCCGCGGCAGACUCCGCAAUCCCGCAGCCGGCGACUGAAGCCCACCUCUGCAGAGACAAAGGAACUGCUCUGGUGAUCUCCCGAAAGUAAAUGUCCUUGGCUGGCCUCCAGCAUUCCCCUCAUGGGCAUAGCCAUGCAGCCUUCAGAACCUUCCUGAAAGAGAUGCCCAAGGAUUCAGCAAAUACUGGGGAAGCAGAGGACACAAGAAACUUGGAUGUGAAAUAGCACUUCCUUCUGUAUUACAGAAUAAAACAAUAUUUUAAAUUACACAAGCAGAUGGGGCAAGUUUUUGGGCCCUCACAAGCCCAGAAGACUUCACACAGGUAUACUGGUAUAUACAUGUGGAAUUGAGCAAAGAAGUUGUUUAAUUCCAAAGUUUUCUGAGAAAUAAUAUCAGUAGUCAGUUUGCCUCAUUAUCCUGUCCCCAUCUUACCCAGAUAAAAGCAGAGCUUUAUGACCCUCCUUUUCAAUUUGGGGAAUGAGGGCUGCAAAGAGACUUUGCACAGAAAAAGCAGCCAUAUUUGCAUUUUUUCCUCUUGUGCCCAGAGGUAAGCGAUGUACUGGGCUUUGUGGAACCUCACAAAAUGGCAUCCUUGAACUGACUUCUCUGAAAACCACUGAGACCCACAUCCUCUUUUGUGUGUUUCUGGUCAUUAUAAAUGGAGAGCCUAAAUCACUCAGAAGGCUUGGUUCUUUCAUUCAGUGUUAACAUUGGAGAGUAUUAUUUUUCUCUAAAUGGUUUACAGACCUCUCUAAGCCGACUGCUGCAGUCCAGGGCUGAAAAGCACUGUCCGGGAUGGCAAAGCAUUCUCUGAAGGUUUAUGCAAAUUUCUGCAGCAAAAAAAUGUUUGCUUGUUGCCUCAAUGCUUGGAUGUUGAAACAUUUGAGCCAAUUAGAAGGGCAUCUUGUGCGCAAGUCACUGCCAGUCUGUCUGCAUGAAACACCAUGAUGGGGGGUGGGGAUGUCUAGUCAGUGUAAGAAAGAAGGUGGCGAAUGUGUGUGAUGUGUAAUUCCCCAAGGUCUUUAUUUGAACACAAAUCUAUGCUCUUUCCCAGCUACAAAAGGAAACAUUUACCUACAUGUAUAAUUAACACUCUGGGCAUGUAAGCUAUGUAUACAUACAAAUUCAUAUUCUAAAAUACACCAGCUAUUGCAACAGU